Molecule: ribosomal RNA, 449 nt
Filed under: uncultured bacterium
Lineage: Bacteria
Description: partial 16S ribosomal RNA
Rfam family: Bacterial small subunit ribosomal RNA
Source: RNAcentral
UAGGGAAUCUUCCACAAUGGACGCAAGUCUGAUGGAGCAACGCCGCGUGAGUGAAGAAGGUUUUCGGACCGUAAAGCUCUGUUGUUGGUGAAGAAGGAUAGAGGUAGUAACUGGCCUUUUAUUUGACGGUAAUCAACCAGAAAGUCACGGCUAACUACGUGCCAGCAGCCGCGGUAAUACGUAGGUGGCAAGCGUUGUCCGGAUUUAUUGGGCGUAAAGCGAGCGCAGGCGGAAGAAUAAGUCUGAUGUGAAAGCCCUCGGCUUAACCGAGGAAUUGCAUCGGAAACUGUUUUCUUGAGUGCAGAAGAGGAGAGUAGAACUCCAUGUGUAGCGGUGGAAUGCGUAGAUAUAUGGAAGAAUACCAGUGGCGAAGGCGGCUCUCUGGUCUGCAACUGACGCUGAGGCUCGAAAGCAUGGGUAGCGAACAGGAUUAGAUACCCUUGGUAGUC